RNAcentral lists this ribosomal RNA (258 nucleotides) under uncultured bacterium. RNAcentral's name for it is "partial small subunit ribosomal RNA". It matches the Rfam family "Bacterial small subunit ribosomal RNA", at positions 26 to 285 of the family's 1533-position model. The record is from RNAcentral.
AGGACGAACGCUGGCGGCGUGCUUAACACAUGCAAGUCGAACGAUGAACUUCCUUCGGGAGGGGAUUAGUGGCGAACGGGUGAGUAACACGUGGGCAAUCUGCCCUUCACUCUGGGACAAGCCCUGGAAACGGGGUCUAAUACCGGAUAUGACACGGGGUCGCAUGAUCUUCGUGUGGAAAGCUCCGGCGGUGAAGGAUGAGCCCGCGGCCUAUCAGCUUGUUGGUGGGGUGAUGGCCUACCAAGGCGACGACGGGUA